Lemur catta (Ring-tailed lemur) is the source of this 701-nucleotide long non-coding RNA. RefSeq lists it as uncharacterized. The transcript has 4 exons. Lineage: Eukaryota; Metazoa; Chordata; Mammalia; Primates; Lemuridae. The record is from RefSeq and is a predicted model, not a curated record.
UGUGUCCUGUCACGUCUCAGUUUCCAGCCGUAACUGAGAAAUAUGGGCAUCGACUCCUGGACUCCAGCAGCCUUUAAAGUCACAACGACAGAGGCAGCUUAUAUCUAGAAUCAGAGCUUAUAAGGUUGGCUUGUGAGGAGUCCACGAACCUGCUGGUGGGUAAGUUGGGAAGACGACACUGAGGACAGAGUUAGAAGAUGGCAUUACCCUGGUACCCUCAGCACAAUUUCAUAUCUGGCCCUCCUUCCGCAUACGCAGAAAUCCAGACCCAACCAUGCACCAGAGUUCCAGGGGUAGAAAGAAACCAAGGAAUUCCCAAGAGACCUGGGAACUGAGCCAUGUUCUUAGUUGGAAGAAACCCCAGUUCAAGACCAGGAACUCCUGUGGCAUAGUCCAGGUGGGCUGGAGUUUGCCAGAAGAUUCCCCAGCCCAGGGGCGCGGAGGCGGAUCAGAAUGCAAACAGAUUGAAGACAGGAGCUGUCCUUAGUGAAUCUGAACAGUGCCUAACUCCCGCGGAUAUUCACUGCGUGUUAAAUAACAAUAGUGAUCAUGUAAUAAUGAUGCCCAGUUCACUUGGGAGAGAAUACCAAAUAGCUUGGAAUUUUCCUGUUACUGGCAGCAUGGCCCAGGAGUAUCCUGAAGUGAAUUUAAAAACCUCAGCGAUUCAAAUCACAUUUACCAUAAGAAAUAAACCUUCUAGC